Molecule: long non-coding RNA, 346 nt
Organism: Nerophis ophidion (straightnose pipefish)
Lineage: Eukaryota; Metazoa; Chordata; Actinopteri; Syngnathiformes; Syngnathidae
Exons: 3
Source: RefSeq, a predicted model, not a curated record
CCCAAACAGAGCACAGAGCGGUGAAUGCCAGUCAUUUACCUUUGCUCGCUGUAUAUAUAUCUACAACUUGUAAGAUUGUAUAGCACUGUGGUACCUGGUGCUUAACUGACGAACCAGCGGUCAAAAAGGCAGCUGCGACUUUCUUGGCUCCUACAUGGCUUCACUCAGAGACACUGGCGGUCAUCACACCCCUCCGACUUUCAGCGUUGGAAACCAUGAGCGGGGCUGACAAACUGGGAGUGAGAGCCAGACGGAGGAGCACGCUCUUGAGCGUGAGAGACAGAAGCUGAAAAGCUGAAAAUGAACUCUGAACAUUAUAAAGUGUUGUAAAAAGAAUAAAAGAGUG